Aquila chrysaetos chrysaetos is the source of this 3524-nucleotide RNA transcript. It is a transcript of the gene named RAD51 paralog C, with no coding region annotated. The transcript has 12 exons. NCBI's taxonomy places the organism in Eukaryota, Metazoa, Chordata, Aves, Accipitriformes, Accipitridae. The record is from RefSeq and is a predicted model, not a curated record.
GUGAGGGCGGGAGGGCGGGGCCUGUGAGCGGCCCAGAGCGGCCCGGCGGCGGCGGCGGCAUCAUGCAGCGGGAGGUGGGCAGCCUCCCGCUGGCCCCCGCUCUGCGGGCUAAGCUCGUCGCCGCCGGUUUCCAGACGGCGCAGGAACUGCUGGAGACCGGCCCCUGCGGGCUCAGCAAAGAACUUGGAAUCUCCAAAGAAGAGGCACUGGAAGCAUUACAGGUUGUGAGGCAGGAAUGUCCCGGGGAUGUAGCAAGGACUGCUGGGGGAUCAGGCAUCACCAGAAAGUGCACGGCACUGGAACUUCUGGAAGAAGAGCAAGCCCAGGGCUCUAUCAUCACCUUUUGUUCAGCGCUAGACAGUAUUCUGGGAGGUGGUGUGCAAUUAACAAAAAUCACCGAGAUCUGUGGAGCGCCUGGUGUUGGGAAAACACAGCUAUGUAUGCAGUUGGCAGUAGACGUACAGAUCCCAGAAUGCUUUGGGGGCGUAGCUGGAGAAGCCGUGUUCAUCGAUACUGAAGGAAGUUUUAUGGUAGACAGAGUAGUGGAUAUUGCAACUGCCUGUGUGCAGCAUUGCCAGCUUAUUGCUGAAGCUCAUCAAGAGGAAGAUCAUCUAAAAGCUUUGGAGACUUUCUCUCUUGAAAGUAUCCUUUCUCACAUAUAUUACUUCCGUUGCCGUGACUACAUAGAGCUUCUUGCACAGGUCUACCUCCUCCCAGACUUUCUUUCAGAGCAUUCAAAGGUCCGACUGGUGGUAGUUGAUGGCAUUGCAUUUCCUUUUCGCCAUGACUUUGAGGACCUCUCACUUCGAACAAGGCUUUUGAAUGGUCUGGCACAACAGCUGAUCAUCAUAGCACAUGAUCAUAAAUCAGCGGUAGUUCUGACAAACCAAAUGACAACAAGGAUUGGACAAAACCAGUCCACAUUGGUACCUGCUUUAGGAGAAAGCUGGGGACAUGCUGCUACUGUCCGUUUAAUCUUUCACUGGGACAACAGUCAGAGGUUGGCGACGUUGUACAAAUCACCAAGUCAGAAGGAGUCAACCAUACCAUAUCACAUUACAUCUCAUGGCUUCCGAGAUGUGCAGCCUCCAGCUGUCACUCAAAAUGCAGAAGAUACUGAAAUGAACCCUCGCAAACGGCCACGGAGAGAAGAGGAAAAGUAAUAGCGAUUCAAAAGUUGAAUGUUAAAAAAUUUGUGCUACGUGGGAACAGUUGCAUAGUGAACGUGCAACCAAAGCUAUUACAAAAAUCAGCUCUGCAGACCAGAACUAGAGAGAAGGAUCUGUUGGCGGAGACAAAAUUAGAUUAAAUGAGCCAGAUUUCGUUCUCAUCUGCUGGAGACAAGGAAGCUGUUCCAGGCUUAGAAUUGCAUAUAAAGAAAGAACUUGACCGUUGCCUCGCCAAUAAAUCUUCCAUGGCAAGUUGAUAUUUUCUUACAUGUGCCUGGAAUUCUCUUGCAUUUCACAGCAUCAGUGCACAACAGUGAGUGGCAUGAGAAUUUUGUGACUGCACAGAAAGUAAGAUUCUAACUAGCCAACAUCGCAGCACUGAAUCAAAAACAGAACGGGUUGUUUGAUUUGCUGCUUACGUCCCAGUUUUCUGAAAGCCAAGAGCUUUAACUAUCAUGCUGAUUUUAGAAUUAUUCCAUUUUGUAGGGACGACAUUUACUUGUGGUGUAGGAACCUACUUCGUCACCACAACAAGAAUACAGUGUCUACCACAGGGCUUGGCAACAGGAAAACAUUGUGGUCACAGCAUACUUCUUCUCAAGCCCAGAAUCCUGCUUUGAAACUCUUUAGUUUGGACAGGGAAAAUAACAAUUUAUUUCUUCCUGAUUUUAUGUGUUCUGCACCUUUUCCAUUAUGAAACACUGAGAAACCAACUAGCUUCCAACUAGAAUAAAUUUAAGAAAACACAAAGAAGAAACAGCUUAACUGAAGAGAUAUUUCUAAGUAGGUGACUGUAAAAUUCAAGGUCUUGUGACUGGAGCAGGAUAUCACAGAAUCAGGAAUCUAAUCUACAGUGAGAUGAUGAACAAGUCAUUUAAAUGUCCUUUGCAAUUAGACAAAUGAUGAAAAGCACAUGGGGACUGCCAAGAUGAAUCAAGGACAUCUGGUAACACUAACAUUUCAACAUGAAACAGGGUAGGUAUUACUCCCAGAUACUCUUAUGUGCUGUUGGAAACAACUAAAAAAAAAGAUAUGAUUGACAAAAAUUUAAGAAAAAGACUAUCCAAAUGCUUUUGAAUCUUUUCUUGGAGAGCCUUAAUUGCUGUUUGUCAUACAACAUGAAUCUAAUCAUACAUCUUGUUGAGUUAACUGUUACUUCCCUAAGAUAUUGUGUUAUAAUAGGAAUUUUUAGAAUUGAGAUAUUACCCUAAGAUUAUCUGGAUUAUAGUUUCUUAGAAACUCCAACUGCCUCUGAAUUACUAGUGAAAAAUAACUAAUCAUGAACUUAAAACUGCUUUUUUGAUACUUGCAUGGAUAUGCAUUCUCUUGAGGCUUGUGACUCACUGAUGAUGCAGUCCACACAAACCUAAAAAAAAACCCAACAAACAAAAUCCAGCAAUGACAUCAUCAGCUGCAACUGUGGGCUAUCCCUUCGAAAAGAACUGCAAUGUUAUUUACCUCUCAAACCCACCUGGCAUUCCUAAAUAAAUGAACGUUAAAGUGAAAAUAUAUAAAUGGUAUAUUAAAAAAAAAGUACUUAGAGAUAUUCUUUCAGGAGAAGCUAUGCAAUUUUCUGUCGCUUUAAUAGCUUUUGGCUGUGAAAGACUAAGACUAACUGUGACAACCACAUUUUUAACUCUCAGGGCUUUUACAUAUUCACAAGAUUGCAAUAUGAUCAGUCAAUGCAGUUGCCGGAAAUAUUCUAAAAUUAGUUUGGCUCCGAAAUAACAAUUCACCAAACAGAAGACAGAUUUACAGCAGCACCUGACACGGAGAGGUAAUUACUACAAUGCAGAGAACAACAGGUUUCAGCAAGCUACUGUCCUUGUUACAAUCCAUUAACAUUUGAGAAUAUUUUUGCACGAGGCUUGCGAUUUGGCCAUUUUUCAAGGCAUAUCUGACAUUAAGGAUACCGUUCCCUCACAGGUGUACAAGCUAUUUUAAAUGUGUGGCAAUUACACCUGUUCAUUGUUGGUAUUUAUGGUCCCGAUAGCUCCGAAAAGAGCUCUUCAGCCGCAAUGAAUAAACCAAGCCAAAACGCCUUUCACAAAUGAAAGACAUUUAUUUAUUAGACAGCACUGGAAUAUCAACUACAGUUUGUCUCCCACUGACUGGCUGUAACUUCUAAGUUCCAUUCGGUGUGACAUCUUCGGCUACUUACGAACGCUCCUCUGCCAGAGCAUCGAAUGUGUAGAUACCACGUAACGCAUCGUUUACGAAUCCAUACGGCUGCUCGUACGCCGAUCUCGGACGUAAAUCAGCGUCACGAGUUUUGCUGCUAAGCGCUGGAAAUGGGUAAAUAUGACCCCAAAGCUGCCCUUCCCGGGAAGAGGGGGGAGUAUGUCGAAAGGCGGG